Molecule: ribosomal RNA, 616 nt
Filed under: uncultured Glomeromycotina
Lineage: Eukaryota; Fungi; Glomeromycota
Description: eukaryotic LSU rRNA
Rfam family: Eukaryotic large subunit ribosomal RNA
Source: RNAcentral
UGGGAGGUAAAUUUCUCCUAAGGCUAAAUAUCGGCGAGAGACCGAUAGCGAACAAGUACCGUGAGGGAAAGAUGAAAAGAACUUUGAAAAGAGAGUAAAAUAGUACGUGAAAUUGUUGAAAGGGAAACGAUUGAAGUCAGUCGUACCGACGAGAAAUCAACUUAUCGUGUGCGAACUUGUGGGCGUGCGUGAGUUUCGGCCUCGCUGUUUGCAUGUUUGUGCGUUUUGGGUGUACUUUUUCGUAUGGUGGGCCAACAUCAGUUUCGAUUGCUAUAAAAUGACUGGCGGAAUGUAGCUUCGAUUUCGGUUGAAGUGUUAUAGCCUCUGGUAGAUGUGGUGAUUGGGACUGAGGAUUGCAACGAAUAUCCUUUGGGCUAUCCGUCUGAUCUCUGAAAGUUGCUCAGGUGCCGAAAGCGUGCUUACGGUCAUCUAAGUAGACGGUCAAUAGGUUAGAGCGUGAUUACAUUCGUUAAGGAUGUUGGCGUAAUGGCUUUAAACGACCCGUCUUGAAACACGGACCAAGGAGUCUAACAUAUAUGCGAGUGUUCGGGUGUUCAAACCCCUACGCGUAAUGAAAGUAAUUUUGGUGGGAUCACUUUUGUGUGCACCAUCGACC